RNAcentral lists this ribosomal RNA (398 nucleotides) under Astrocystis bambusae. RNAcentral's name for it is "eukaryotic LSU rRNA". It matches the Rfam family "Eukaryotic large subunit ribosomal RNA", at positions 170 to 575 of the family's 3401-position model. The record is from RNAcentral. Lineage: Eukaryota; Fungi; Ascomycota; Sordariomycetes; Xylariales; Xylariaceae.
GCGGUGCCUUCCGAGUUCCCUGGAACGGGACGCCUUAGAGGGUGAGAGCCCCGUACGGUUGGACACCAAGCCUCUGUGAAGCUCCUUCGACGAGUCGAGUAGUUUGGGAAUGCUGCUCUAAAUGGGAGGUAAAUUUCUUCUAAAGCUAAAUAUUGGCCAGAGACCGAUAGCGCACAAGUAGAGUGAUCGAAAGAUGAAAAGCACUUUGAAAAGAGGGUUAAAAAGCACGUGAAAUUGUUGAAAGGGAAGCGUUUGCGACCAGACCUCUUCCCGGCGGAUCAUCCGGUGUUCUCACCGGUGCACUUCGCCUGGUCUAGGCCAGCAUCGGUUUCCGCGGGGGGAGAAAAGCUCGGGGAACGUAGCUCCCUCGGGAGUGUUAUAGCCCCUUGCAUAAUACC